GACGAACGCUGGCGGCGUGCUUAACACAUGCAAGUGGAGCGACGAACCGGGGCUUGCCCCGGGGCAGAGCCGCGAACGGGUGAGUAACACGUGGGUAACCUGCCUCAAUGAUUGGGACAACCCGGGGAAACUCGGGCUAAUACCAAAUGUGUUCACUCCUUCUAAGGGGAGUGAGGAAAGGAAGCUUCGGCCUCCGCAUUGAGAUGGGCCCGCGGCCCAUUAGCUUGUUGGUGAGGUAACGGCUCACUAAGGCUUCGAUGGGUAGCUGGUCUGAGAGGACGAUCAGCCACACUGGGACUGAGACACGGCCCAGACUCCUACGGGAGGCAGCAGUGGGGAAUCUUGCACAAUGCGCGAAAGCGUGAUGCAGCAACGCCGCGUGGGGGAAGAC
Molecule: ribosomal RNA, 391 nt
Filed under: uncultured bacterium
Lineage: Bacteria
Description: bacterial SSU rRNA
Rfam family: Bacterial small subunit ribosomal RNA
Source: RNAcentral